RNAcentral lists this ribosomal RNA (495 nucleotides) under uncultured Burkholderia sp. RNAcentral's name for it is "bacterial SSU rRNA". It matches the Rfam family "Bacterial small subunit ribosomal RNA", at positions 165 to 653 of the family's 1533-position model. The record is from RNAcentral. Lineage: Bacteria; Pseudomonadati; Pseudomonadota; Betaproteobacteria; Burkholderiales; Burkholderiaceae.
AAUACCGCAUACGAUCUGUGGAUGAAAGCGGGGGAUCCUUCGGGACCUCGCGCUACAGGGGCGGCCGAUGGCAGAUUAGCUAGUUGGUGGGGUAAAGGCCUACCAAGGCGACGAUCUGUAGCUGGUCUGAGAGGACGACCAGCCACACUGGGACUGAGACACGGCCCAGACUCCUACGGGAGGCAGCAGUGGGGAAUUUUGGACAAUGGGCGAAAGCCUGAUCCAGCAAUGCCGCGUGUGUGAAGAAGGCCUUCGGGUUGUAAAGCACUUUUGUCCGGAAAGAAAACCUCGUGGUUAAUACCCGUGGGGGAUGACGGUACCGGAAGAAUAAGCACCGGCUAACUACGUGCCAGCAGCCGCGGUAAUACGUAGGGUGCAAGCGUUAAUCGGAAUUACUGGGCGUAAAGCGUGCGCAGGCGGUCCGCUAAGACAGAUGUGAAAUCCCCGGGCUUAACCUGGGAACUGCAUUUGUGACUGGCGGGCUAGAGUAUGGCA